UACGGAGGGAGCUAGCGUUGUUCGGAAUUACUGGGCGUAAAGCGCACGUAGGCGGCUUUGUAAGUUAGAGGUGAAAGCCCGGAGCUCAACUCCGGAACUGCCUUUAAGACUGCAUCGCUUGAAUCCAGGAGAGGUGAGUGGAAUUCCGGAGUGUAGAGGUGAAAUUCGUAGAUAUUCGGAAGAACACCAGUGGCGAAGGCGGCUCACUGGACUGGUAUUGACGCUGAGGUGCGAAAGCGUGGGGAGCAAACAGGG
Molecule: ribosomal RNA, 255 nt
Filed under: uncultured bacterium
Lineage: Bacteria
Description: partial 16S ribosomal RNA
Rfam family: Bacterial small subunit ribosomal RNA
Source: RNAcentral